AUUGAACGCUGGCGGCAUGCCUUACACAUGCCAGUCGAACGGCAGCACGGGAGCAAUCCUGGUGGCGAGUGGCGAACGGGUGAGUAAUACAUCGGAACGUGCCCAGUAGUGGGGGAUAACCCGGCGAAAGCCGGACUAAUACCGCAUACGACCUACGGGUGAAAGCGGGGGAUCGCAAGACCUCGCGCUAUCGGAGCGGCCGAUGUCAGAUUAGCUAGUUGGUGGGGUAAAGGCCUACCAAGGCGACGAUCUGUAGCUGGUCUGAGAGGACGACCAGCCACACUGGGACUGAGACACGGCCCAGACUCCUACGGGAGGCAGCAGUGGGGAAUUUUGGACAAUGGGCGCAAGCCUGAUCCAGCCAUGCCGCGUGCGGGAAGAAGGCCUUCGGGUUGUAAACCGCUUUUGUCAGGGAAGAAACGCUCCGGGCUAAUACCACGGAGUAAUGACGGUACCUGAAGAAUAAGCACCGGCUAACUACGUG
This 484-nucleotide ribosomal RNA is filed under the name uncultured bacterium. RNAcentral describes it as "partial 16S ribosomal RNA". It matches the Rfam family "Bacterial small subunit ribosomal RNA", at positions 29 to 507 of the family's 1533-position model. The record is from RNAcentral.